UGGAGAGGAGAGCGCUACCGAACAGGCGAAUAGGAGAAGGAAAAGAGGACAAAAUCCACUGAUCAGGGAGCAUAUCGAGGAAAAGAACACAUAAUCUAGUCUCACUGGCAUGUGUUAUCACCAUCUAUAGCUUUGGUGGAGGUCUGUGAAAGUUUCCAUCCUGGGGGGACACCCUCCCCUUGUUGUGGGGACGAACAGCGGAUGCUGAAUUUCAUUCCUGAAGGCAGGGGGAGAGCUGUGAGGACCGGCUGGAUUCACUUGCAUUGGAGCUGGUAGUGCGCACCAGAAGAGAUCCUACAGUCUCUCGUUCUCCCUUGUCUCUCAUAAACGCAUUUUCCAGUAGAAUACCUAACAUUGUUUAGCUCUGCCAAGGUGGAAUAUCAGGGAGAACCAGCCCAAAAGAAAUUAAUCUAAACCAAGGAACUAAAGGGUAAUGGAUUAUGCACAAAUUCACUGAAGGACAUCCUGCUCACAAAAAGUAAGUUCAAAUCAGAAAAGGCUUUUAAUUGGUUUCUGAUUUUAAAAGACUUGUGGGAUUUUUGCCCUUGUUGUGGAGCAGAACCAAUCGUAUCUCAUGACAGCUUGCGGACUAUAGGAUUCUGGAUAGUAUUUCAAGACUGAAUCUGUGUAGGCACCUUUCCACUAUCCUGCCAGCAAGCAGAAAUGUUCUUUGCCUCUAUUCCAGUAUGACCCUGGAGUAAGUGACCCGUGCAUAGAGUCACACUACACGUUUUCCACUGGGUUUCUGUGCUUCUACAACAGCUUAUGGACAUUUGAUAUUGGGAAGCUAACAAGGUA
This is a non-coding RNA of Maylandia zebra (zebra mbuna), 798 nucleotides long. NCBI's taxonomy places the organism in Eukaryota, Metazoa, Chordata, Actinopteri, Cichliformes, Cichlidae. The record is from RefSeq and is a predicted model, not a curated record.